UACGAAGGGGGGCUAGCGUUGUUCGGAAUUACUGGGCGUAAAGCGCGCGCAGGCGGCUAUCCAAGUCAGUGGUGAAAGCCCGGAGCUCAACUCCGGAACUGCCAUUGAAACUGUUUAGCUUGAGGAUGAGAGAGGUGAGUGGAAUUCCCAGUGUAGAGGUGAAAUUCGUAGAUAUUGGGAAGAACACCGGUGGCGAAGGCGGCUCACUGGACCGAGACUGACGCUGAGGCGCGAAAGCGUGGGGGAGCAAACAGG
This 255-nucleotide ribosomal RNA is filed under the name uncultured bacterium. Its description in RNAcentral is "partial 16S ribosomal RNA". It matches the Rfam family "Bacterial small subunit ribosomal RNA", at positions 524 to 776 of the family's 1533-position model. The record is from RNAcentral.